GACCGGGAAUCGAACCAUGACCUCCUGGUUCACAGGUGGACGCUCAGCCCCUGAGGCACGCCGGUGGGGCUGAAACCACCUUUUCAUCCAUUUUUCUGCAGGCUGGCUGGCUGGCUGCUGGUUGGGGUGGCUGUGGUCUGUGCUGGCGAUCGCUCCCGGUUCCCAGUCGGACAUCUUGGUGGCUGAGCACGUUUGAGACCCAGGAACUGGAAGCGAAAUGUCCGGUUCGCUGGCGCGAGGCUGGUGUGUGUUCUGAGGCCUUCAUGUUGCGCAAGAGCCUUUAGAGGAACGUUUAGUGGGGCACAGGUCACAGCGAGCCCAGCGUUCCAGCCUUGCUGUCUGACCUUCCACUGCUGCCUGGAGCCAAGUCCACUCGUUGGUGAACACCCAGCACUGGGCCUCCUAGUGGCCGCGUGCCGAGGGGACCUCCCCUGCCAGGUCCCAGAGCAGCCCCGCCCACCCUGGACCCAGACCCCCAGGC
This is a long non-coding RNA of Myotis brandtii (Brandt's bat), 481 nucleotides long. RefSeq lists it as uncharacterized. The record is from RefSeq and is a predicted model, not a curated record. The transcript is spliced from 5 exons. NCBI's taxonomy places the organism in Eukaryota, Metazoa, Chordata, Mammalia, Chiroptera, Vespertilionidae.